AUUGAACGCUGGCGGUAUGCCUUACACAUGCAAGUCGAACGGUAACAGAGGAAAGCUUGCUUUCUUGCUGACGAGUGGCGGACGGGUGAGUAACGCGUGGGAAUCUACCUGGUAGUUGGGGAUAGCCCGGAGAAAUCCGGAUUAAUACCGAAUACGAUCUACGGAUGAAAAGGUGCCUCUGCUUGCAAGCACUUGCUACCAGAUGAGCCCGCGUUAGAUUAGUUAGUUGGUGGGGUAAAGGCCUACCAAGACUGCGAUCUAUAGCUGGUUUGAGAGGAUGAUCAGCCACAUUGGGACUGAGACACGGCCCAGACUCCUACGGGAGGCAGCAGUGGGGAAUAUUGGACAAUGGGCGCAAGCCUGAUCCAGCAAUACCGCGUGUGUGAAGAAGGCCUUCGGGUUGUAAAGCACUUUUAUAUGGGAAGAAGGGUAUAUAGUUAAUAGCAUUAUGCUUUGACGGUACUGUAUGAAUAAGCACCGGCUAACUCCGUGCCAGCCGCCGCCGUAAUAC
Molecule: ribosomal RNA, 511 nt
Filed under: uncultured bacterium
Lineage: Bacteria
Description: bacterial SSU rRNA
Rfam family: Bacterial small subunit ribosomal RNA
Source: RNAcentral